Molecule: ribosomal RNA, 419 nt
Filed under: Melibe rosea
Lineage: Eukaryota; Metazoa; Mollusca; Gastropoda; Nudibranchia; Dendronotidae
Description: partial 16S ribosomal RNA
Rfam family: Archaeal large subunit ribosomal RNA
Source: RNAcentral
AGCCUGGAGGCUACAUUCUAGGUCUUUUCUGCUCACUGAAUUUUUUUUAAGAGCCGCGGUAUUUUGACCGUGCUAAGGUAGCGAAAUCAAUUGUUCCUUAAUUAGGGACCUGUAUGAAUGAAUACACAGGGGGCGACUGUCUCUUUUUUAGUGUAUCGAAUUUGCAGAGUAGGUGCAAAUGCCUACUUUUUAAUGAAAGACGAUAAGACCCUGGGAGCUUAACGGAAGUUUAUAGUGAAAACGAUUUUGCUGGGGCGGCAUCGUUUAUACCUAACGAUAAAAACAAAACAAUAAGAUUAAGAAAAAGCUACCCCAGGGAUAACAGCGUAAUUUUAUUUUUAGCUUUCGACCUCGAUGUUGGACUAGGAACACGGCAGGUUAGAAGCCUGCCUGCGGGCUCUGUUCGAGCCAAAUUUCCU